RNAcentral lists this ribosomal RNA (596 nucleotides) under uncultured bacterium. RNAcentral's name for it is "bacterial SSU rRNA". It matches the Rfam family "Bacterial small subunit ribosomal RNA", at positions 202 to 799 of the family's 1533-position model. The record is from RNAcentral.
UAAAGAAUUUCGGUUAUCGAUGGGGAUGCGUUCCAUUAGUUAGUUGGCGGGGUAACGGCCCACCAAGACGACGAUGGAUAGGGGUUCUGAGAGGAAGGUCCCCCACAUUGGAACUGAGACACGGUCCAAACUCCUACGGGAGGCAGCAGUGAGGAAUAUUGGUCAAUGGACGAGAGUCUGAACCAGCCAAGUAGCGUGAAGGAUGACUGCCCUAUGGGUUGUAAACUUCUUUUAUAUGGGAAUAAAACAGGGUAUGCAUACCCUCUUGUAUGUACCAUAUGAAUAAGGAUCGGCUGACUCCGUGCCAGCAGCCGCGGUAAUACGGAGGAUCCGAGCGUUAUCCGGAUUUAUUGGGUUUAAAGGGAGCGUAGGUGGAUUGUUAAGUCAGUUGUGAAAGUUUGCGGCUCAACCGUAAAAUUGCAGUUGAAACUGGCAGUCUUGAGUACAGUAGAGGUGGGCGGAAUUCGUGGUGUAGCGGUGAAAUGCUUAGAUAUCACGAAGAACUCCGAUUGCGAAGGCAGCUCACUGGACUGCAACUGACACUGAUGCUCGAAAGUGUGGGUAUCAAACAGGAUUAGAUACCCUGGUAGUCCACA